CAGCAGCCGCGGUAACACGGAGGGCGCGAGCGUUACCCGGAUUUACUGGGCGUAAAGGGCGUGUAGGCGGCCUGGGGCGUCCCAUGUGAAAGGCCACGGCUCAACCGUGGAGGAGCGUGGGAUACGCUCAGGCUAGAGGGUGGGAGAGGGUGGUGGAAUUCCCGGAGUAGCGGUGAAAUGCGCGGAUACCGGGAGGAACGCCGAUGGCGAAGGCAGCCACCUGGUCCACUUCUGACGCUGAGGCGCGAAAGCGUGGGGAGCAAACCGGAUUAGAUACCCCGUAGUCCCUGUCUCUUAUACA
RNAcentral lists this ribosomal RNA (301 nucleotides) under uncultured bacterium. Its description in RNAcentral is "partial 16S ribosomal RNA". It matches the Rfam family "Bacterial small subunit ribosomal RNA", at positions 509 to 808 of the family's 1533-position model. The record is from RNAcentral.